AAGAGAAUAUGACAUAUAAAAAGCUUCUAGCUAUUUUAUAAAAUGGUUAAAUUCCAUUUUUCUCUUA
RNAcentral lists this transfer RNA (67 nucleotides) under Oncylocotis sp. PJ-2015. RNAcentral describes it as "tRNA-Ser". Lineage: Eukaryota; Metazoa; Arthropoda; Insecta; Hemiptera; Enicocephalidae. The record is from RNAcentral.